GACGAACGCUGGCGGCGUGCUUAACACAUGCAAGUCGAACGGAAAGGCCCUGCUUGCCGGGUACUCGAGUGGCGAACGGGUGAGUAACACGUGGGUGAUCUGCCCUGCACUUCGGGAUAAGCCUGGGAAACUGGGUCUAAUACCGGAUAGGAGCCAUUUUUAGUGUGAUGGUUGGAAAGUUUUUUCGGUGUAGGAUGAGCUCGCGGCCUAUCAGCUUGUUGGUGGGGUAAUGGCCUACCAAGGCGGCGACGGGUAGCCGGCCUGAGAGGGUGGACGGCCACAUUGGGACUAAGAGACGGCCCAGACACCUACGGGAGGCAGCAGGGGGGAAUAUUGCACAAUGGGCGCAAGCCUGAUGCAGCGACGCCGCGUGGGGGAUGACGGCCUUCGGGUUGUAAAAUCCUUUCGCUAGGGACGAAGCUUUUUGUGACGGUACCUAGAGAAGAAGCACCGGCUAACUACGUG
RNAcentral lists this ribosomal RNA (465 nucleotides) under uncultured bacterium. RNAcentral's name for it is "partial 16S ribosomal RNA". It matches the Rfam family "Bacterial small subunit ribosomal RNA", at positions 28 to 507 of the family's 1533-position model. The record is from RNAcentral.